UAUGUGUGUGUUUAAUUAAUUUGUAUCAAAUAAAUAGCAGUCUGUGUAACAAGAAGCUGGAAAUAUGAGAAGUGAAACCUUUGUAUUUGGAUGGAUUCAUGAUUUUUG
This is a long non-coding RNA of Notothenia coriiceps (black rockcod), 108 nucleotides long. RefSeq lists it as uncharacterized. NCBI's taxonomy places the organism in Eukaryota, Metazoa, Chordata, Actinopteri, Perciformes, Nototheniidae. The record is from RefSeq and is a predicted model, not a curated record. The transcript has 3 exons.